Molecule: ribosomal RNA, 486 nt
Filed under: uncultured bacterium
Lineage: Bacteria
Description: partial 16S ribosomal RNA
Rfam family: Bacterial small subunit ribosomal RNA
Source: RNAcentral
AUUGAACGCUGGCGGCAUGCCUUACACAUGCAAGUCGAACGGCAGCACGGGUGCUUGCACCUGGUGGCGAGUGGCGAACGGGUGAGUAAUACAUCGGAACAUGUCCUGUAGUGGGGGAUAGCCCGGCGAAAGCCGGAUUAAUACCGCAUACGAUCUACGGGUGAAAGCGGGGGACCUUCGGGCCUCGCGCUAUAGGGUUGGCCGAUGGCUGAUUAGCUAGUUGGUGGGGUAAAGGCCUACCAAGGCGACGAUCAGUAGCUGGUCUGAGAGGACGACCAGCCACACUGGGACUGAGACACGGCCCAGACUCCUACGGGAGGCAGCAGUGGGGAAUUUUGGACAAAGGGCGAAAGCCUGAUCCAGCAAUGCCGCGUGUGUGAAGAAGGCCUUCGGGUUGUAAAGCACUUUUGUCCGGAAAGAAAUCCUUGGCCCUAAUACGGUCGGGGGAUGACGGUACCGGAAGAAUAAGCACCGGCUAACUACGUG